This 1280-nucleotide long non-coding RNA is filed under the name Vigna radiata. RNAcentral's name for it is "long non-coding RNA (VRAD_LNC001639)". Lineage: Eukaryota; Viridiplantae; Streptophyta; Magnoliopsida; Fabales; Fabaceae. The record is from RNAcentral.
AGAGUAGUAGUACCAUCAAUAAACUGAACCUUGUUCUUGGUGCUCAAGGUUGUAUACAUUGAUUUGCUCAAAGCAUGGUAAUUAUUGGAUUCUAAGAGAGGGAAAACAAGGGAAAUUACAGGGCUUUCGCUUGGAUGGAGAUACAAGAGACUGGAAGAAUGAUUAUGUUCCUCCAUCAUCGUGGAAUAUCCUGUAAAAGAAUAGGCAAAGAGAAGAAAAAAGGAACAAAGAAAAUAAAGAAGAGAGAAAGGAAAAGAAAAAGAGGAAAAGAAAAUAGGGUUAGAGGCACAACAGAGCUCUUCAAAGAAAGAGCUCUGAUACCAUCAUGGAAGAGCGACAAAGGAUGCUCUUGAAGGAUCAUGUCUAUGAAAGGAGUGAUCGGUGUGUGAGAUUGUGUGCAUCAUGAUAAGCAAGCAAGAAGAGACAAGAAGAGUCUUACAGAGACGACAAAAGCAACAAAAGUAAAUUAGGAGAGUAGAGGAACGAGAAAGAAUUUUCUACACAAUGUUAUUAUGUGAAUAUAGAAAUGUACUUUAUGUAUUUGGAAAGUAAAAGAGUACCUUUAUAUAUAGCGUAUUAGAGAAGCAAAUAAAAACAAUAAAUAGAAAUAAAAUGGAAAAUACAAAUUAGUGAGGAUUCUGACAAGACGUUCCUUCGCAGGUUGAAGAAUGAUAUGAUGAAAAACUAUGGCAACCCUAACAUUAGUUUCAAAAAGUCAAGCUUACAUAACAUAAUGGUUCUUCAUCAUGUCCAACAUGAAAAGGAUGUUAUUUUUAUAUUGGUGACCAUGAGUGUUGGAUGAAAUUUAGGUUUACUUCAUGAUGAGGAGCCAUGAUCAAAGUUGGUUAAAGACAUGAUAUCAACGGUAAACAUGAGUGUAUGAUAGAAAGAAGAGGCAACAAUUAGGCUAGCAGGUGGCAGUACGCGGUUGUUGAAACCAGGGGAUGACAUGUGAGCGAGAAGGAAGGGGUGGCUCCUGGCUGCUAAAACAAGAUGGGCGACACAAGAGUUGGAGAAGGAAAAAAGUGAGGGUGCAAAAACAUGUUGUUGGUCAAAAGAAGGCUUAAGGGUGAUUAAGAGCAGCCACAACACAAAAGAGAGUCUUCGAGCAUGAUACAAUGCGAAAAAGAAAAGAAAUACACGACAUCAAACGCAAAGUGACAAGAUCUGAAUAGAGAAAGACUCAUGAUACUAUAUAAGAAAAUGAUACCAUAUAAGAAAAAAAUAAUUUAAAUAUAUGUCUCAUUAUGUAAUUGGAUAUAUAUAUAUAUAUAUAUAUA